This 628-nucleotide ribosomal RNA is filed under the name Fomitopsis sp. Fo6. RNAcentral's name for it is "eukaryotic LSU rRNA". The stretch from base 232 to 385 matches the Rfam family "5.8S ribosomal RNA". The record is from RNAcentral. Lineage: Eukaryota; Fungi; Basidiomycota; Agaricomycetes; Polyporales; Fomitopsidaceae.
AAGGAUCAUUAAUGAAUUUUGAAAGGGGUUGUAGCUGGCCGUCUCUUUGGGGCGGCAUGUGCACGCCCUGAUCACUAUCCAUCUCACACACCUGUGCACACACUGUAGGUUGGCUUGUGAUUGGAGCUUACAGUCUUCAUUGACUUUGCUCUGGUUGGAGGCCCUCCUAUGUAUUAUCACAAACUACUUCAGUUUAAAGAAUGUACUCUUGCGUCUAACGCAUUUAAAUACAACUUUCAGCAACGGAUCUCUUGGCUCUCGCAUCGAUGAAGAACGCAGCGAAAUGCGAUAAGUAAUGUGAAUUGCAGAAUUCAGUGAAUCAUCGAAUCUUUGAACGCACCUUGCGCUCCUUGGUAUUCCGAGGAGCAUGCCUGUUUGAGUGUCAUGGAAUUCUCAACUCUAUUUGCUUUUGUGAAUAGAGCUUGGAUUUGGAGGUUUAUUGCUGGUACUUGUGAUCGGCUCCUCUUGAAUGCAUUAGCUCGAACCUUUGCGGAUCAGCUAUCGGUGUGAUAAUUGUCUACGCCGUUGCAGUGAAGCAUAUCAAUGGGCUCGGCUUCCAAUCGUCCUUUACUGGACAAUGACUUUGACCUUUGACCUCAAAUCAGGUAGGAUUACCCGCUGAACUUAA